Long non-coding RNA from Callithrix jacchus (white-tufted-ear marmoset), 2645 nucleotides. Lineage: Eukaryota; Metazoa; Chordata; Mammalia; Primates; Cebidae. The record is from Ensembl.
CGGGCGGAGCGCUCUCAGACAGCGGAGCGCACACCGCCCGGCCCUCGGUGCCAGCGCGGAUCCCCAGGCUCCUCGUCAGUCCGCGGGGCGGCAGCGGCGCUUGUGGGAAGACCGGCGAUGAACCUAAGGGCGGCUCCGGGCAGGGGCGCGCGAUCUUAACGACAGUCGCCUUCUGAACGCUGAGCGGGAGGGGACGAAGGGACGGUGGUCCCGGCCCCAUCCGCGCACCGGGCAGGCGCGGAUACCCGCGUGGGACAGACACCUGGAGCGCAGCUGCCAGGUAUGAACAGUAAUGGCACGUAUUUUGGUUAUGAGUCACCCAGUGGACUGUCGAUUGAAUGAACCGUAUGCAUCCCCAUCAUGAUGUACAACACCAAGUCUCCUCACUACCAGUCUGUGCUUCUCUCAAUUACUUGGAUGUGACUACUCACCCAUGCCCGUGCCUUCAACACCAGUUGGUUCCCUCACACCGUCUUCCUUGUCAUUCAAUCAGUGGAGCUUUCCUCACCCUGGACCAGGUGAAGUUCCCUCACCAUGCUUUAGAGCAGUUGAUAGUCUAGUGUCUCUUUUCCUUGAAAGAGUGAAAUUCUGUGUGGGCAGGUCACAUGUAUGAGCAAACCAUAUGGGAAGGCAGUAUGUUUGCACUAUUUAUGUAUUUUGUAUUAAACAUGCAUAUGUAUUUGUAGACAACUUAAUUACAAAUGAUUCACUGAGUAUAUGAAACGUGGAAAUGGUCAAAUAUAUCACCAGUCUCAAAAAUAUUUGUUACGAGCUUACUAAAUACUAGAGAGAAGAAAUAAUGCAUUUGUUCAAGAAAUAGUAAAUGUCUCUGCUAUGCCUGGCACUGUGCUAGAUAUGAGAGCUAUAAGGCACAAUCCAUGUCUUCAAAGUUUUAGACAAUUUAGUUUGGAAGACAGGACAUAGACACAGAGAGCUAUGAUCAUGUAGGUCAAUUUAGUAUAGAAAUACUUAGUCUAAGAAUUUAUUCUUGCUGGUUAGUUACUUAGACAAAAACUGCUUUGAAUGUAAAUUUCCUAGUUCCGGCUUGCUUUUCUUCCCCUUUUCUCCUUCCCCACACCCACUUUUCUGAACACAAAUAUAAGAUUUAUUUAAUUCAGUUCAUUUGGCUUCCUGACAGCAGAGUGUCAUCGGGGUAAUCACCAUAAAAGGACUUUGUUUUAUUUUUUAAUCACCCAGCACAUUUUUAUUGUCAGAAUAGUUACUAAUCAUUCAUUUUUAUUUACUCUAGCUUGGGAAGUUUUGCAAAAAUCCUGUGACUAUUCAGAAAAAAAAAAUGCUUUAAAUUAUGAGUUCUCUCCUACCCUGCCGGCGAGUGAACACACCACAGACUUGAACUUCAUGAUUCCGUUAUGUUAGGCAUUGAGGAAUAGGAAAUACCUGCUUUGCCCCUUGCCAGCUACGGCCUCCUGACCCUAGGACCCCUUCACCUUCUCCCAGAGUUUAUUCUGCACCAGAACAUCAGAGCAUGGUUGCAUUUUUACACUGGAUUUCAAUUAGUUAUUCUUUUUAUUUAUUCAUUUAUUUACUUAUUUUGAGACAGUGCCUUGCUUUGUCGCCCAGGCUGGAGUGCAGUGGUGGAAUCUCAGCUCACUGCAACCUCUUCGUCCUGAGUUCAAGAGAUUCUCCUGCCUCAGCCUCCUGAGUAGUUGGGAUUACAGGUGUGCGCCAGCAUGCCUGGCUAAUUUUUGUAUUUUUAGUAGAGACAGGGUUUUGCCGUGUUGGCCAGGCUGGUCUCGAACUCCUGACCUCAAGUGAUCCAUCCACCUCAGCCUCCCAAAGUGCUGGGAUUACAAAACAUGAGCCACUGCCACUGCAACCUACCUAGAAUAAUUAUUUUGAGCAACUGAGAUAGAAAACAAAGAUAGAGCUGCUUAGUUUCUGUAAACUCUUGGGCUCUUUUAAAAUAAGGACUAUUUUAUAGCUUUGUUAAACUAAAUUCAAGCAUUUAAAGUAAUGUAUUGAAGAACAUAUGUAAGAAAAGAAGAGGUAGGAUAAGAAUAAACAUUGCAUAGACUAAAGAAAGCUGUAACGUAAUAGAUGAAUUCUUUGGGAGCUAAUGGAAAUGCGUAAAAUGCUGAGUUGAGGAUUUGAGGGUUGGGUGGCUUGGGAUUUGAGGAAUUUUCAUUAGAGUCCAGAUUUAGCCCCCCACAAAGUGCCAAGUCUGGUGAUCUUCUUCCCCACUUAACUCAGAAUGUGUCUCUUCUAAUCUCAUUCAAAAGCCUAUUUGAAAAGCGUCUGAUGGUUAUAUGGACAUUGUGUUGGUGAGCACACAUAAACUGUAGUUCUUGCCACUUACAAAGCUCAUUAAGAACUCAAAUUCAUGUUCACUGAGAUAUCAGUAUCAUAAUCCUAAGGUAUAAUUAAUUUUGUAAGCUUCUAAUCUAGGUUCUAGUUAGAGUGAUUCAAAUAAUUUCAUGAUUUGCAACUAGAAGAGGCAGCCAUUCUUCUGGCAAGCAACAAUUAAAUAUAUAUAUUUAAUUCUUCUUUAUUCUUUAACUCUUUAAUUCUUUUUAUAAUUUUUUUUUUUCAUUUUGAGGCAGAGUCUCACUCCAUCACCCAGGCUGGAGAGCAGUGGUGGGAUCUCAGCUCACUGCAACUUCUGCAGUGAGUCCUUAAAGUAUGUG